AAGAAAACAACUUAGCUUGAGGCCCGUCCAAGUUGAUUGGGUUCAUAACACAGUCACCGUAAGGAAACCCAUCAAGCUGCCAACCACCGUCUAGAAUAGAUCUAGUUUCCGUUUCCCCCUCUCUAUUUCUCCCUUCUUCACUCCAACCUGGAGCCACUCUCAACUCUCAAGCUUGAAAUCUCCUUGUCUCUGCCGUUGUGUGUCGUGCUGCGUUAUAUUGUGCCAACUGCCGGCUCCAAGAUACUUUUUGGCAAUUUCUUGAAGAGUUCUGGAGAUGAUAUAAUAAACAUCCACCGUGGCCUUUUGGCAUCAUUCAAAGGCUUUUGAAGCCGAGGUGAAAUCGAUCGGUGCAACAAGCCACUUUAUGACCGAAGAUCUUGAUGCAGGGCCUGUUAUUGAAAUGCACAAUCUUUUAUUUUAAAUUUUCUGAACUUGGUGCUCCAUACUGAUCUUCAACUGAUCAGAACAUCUUAAAUAUGAAUUUUCUUUUACCAUUAUUAUGUCAUUUCUGAUACCUGAUUUACACAGUUGAAAAGGCAUUGCAGUUUAUACAUGAAAGAGGAUUGCAGUUUAAACAAUCUGAUAAUAUUUAUUUAUGUAAAGAAUGAUGUUUAUAAACUUGACGGUUUUGGAUUUGCACCUCUCGGUGAUAAGGCUGAUGAUCAGUAGCGACUACAAGAAAGUAUGCCUUUUGGGGCCAAAUUAUAUAUAUAUAUCCAACCAAACAUAUAUACAAUCCUCACACAGCAUCUUUUUGAAAAGCAUAACAGCAGAUGUCUUGGAAUACAUCACACACAGAAACAUUUAUCAUGCAAAAAAUGCAGAUGAUUCUGCAGAAUGGAUCAUGAUCAGUAUCCUUUGAAACACAAUACCUGGUCGGCUUCUACAUAUUUGAUGGAUUAUAAUUUUGUUAGGACUUUACAAUCAGAAAAACUCGUAAACUUCAAGUUCUGAAAAUUCUGCAGAUCAGGAAAAAAAAAGAAAGAAAGAGAAAUUAGAUUCAAAGAAGUUCAAAACUAAAUUGAAAAGAAAACAAAAACAAACACUCUCAACCCAUCUCAACUCAAAACAAAAAUAUAUCAAUAAAUUUCAACAAAACCUCAUUGUUGAAAUUUUGUGCCUGCUAGAGACGAAUGAGCAAGAUGGAUACCACCAUUGGAAUUUUGUGCCAGCUUAGUCCAUCGUGGGUCUCGUGGUUGACUUUUAAAGAAGUGAG
Long non-coding RNA from Juglans regia (Persian walnut), 1216 nucleotides. RefSeq lists it as uncharacterized. The transcript has 3 exons. Lineage: Eukaryota; Viridiplantae; Streptophyta; Magnoliopsida; Fagales; Juglandaceae. The record is from RefSeq and is a predicted model, not a curated record.